GAUGAACGCUGGCGGCGUGCCUAACACAUGCAAGUCGAGCGAAAAGACGAGGAGCUUGCUCCUCUGACGUUAGCGGCGGACGGGUGAGUAACACGUGGAUAACCUACCUAUAUUACUGGGAUAACUUCGGGAAACCGGAGCUAAUACCAGAUAAUAUAUUGAACCGCAUGGUUCAAUAGUGAAUGACGGCUUUGCUGUCUCUACUAGAUGGUUCCGCGCCGCAUUAGCUAGUUGGUAAGGUAACGGCUUACCAAGGCAACGAUGCGUAGCCGACCUGAGAGGGUGAUCGGCCACACUGGAACUGAGACACGGUCCAGACUCCUACGGGAGGCAGCAGUAGGGAAUCUUCCGCAAUGGGCGAAAGCUUGACGGAGCAACGCCGCGUGAGUGAUGAAGGUCUUCGGAUCGUAAAACUCUGUUAUUAGGGAAGAACAAAUGUGUAAGUAACUAUGGACGUCUUGACGGUACCUAAUCAGAAAGCCACGGCUAACUACGUG
RNAcentral lists this ribosomal RNA (497 nucleotides) under uncultured bacterium. RNAcentral's name for it is "partial 16S ribosomal RNA". It matches the Rfam family "Bacterial small subunit ribosomal RNA", at positions 28 to 507 of the family's 1533-position model. The record is from RNAcentral.